This 74-nucleotide transfer RNA is filed under the name Treponema sp. CETP13. RNAcentral's name for it is "tRNA-Met". It matches the Rfam family "tRNA". From Rfam's summary of the family: Transfer RNA (tRNA) molecules are approximately 80 nucleotides in length. Their secondary structure includes four short double-helical elements and three loops (D, anti-codon, and T loops). The record is from RNAcentral. Lineage: Bacteria; Pseudomonadati; Spirochaetota; Spirochaetia; Treponematales; Treponemataceae.
GGGCCUAUAGCUCAGUUGGUUAGAGCAACGGACUCAUAACCCGUCGGUCCUUAGUUCAAGUCUAAGUGGGCCCA